Molecule: ribosomal RNA, 449 nt
Filed under: uncultured prokaryote
Description: bacterial SSU rRNA
Rfam family: Bacterial small subunit ribosomal RNA
Source: RNAcentral
UGAGGAAUAUUGGUCAAUGGGCGCAAGCCUGAACCAGCGACGCCGCGUGAGUGAUGAAGGCCCUCGGGUUGUAAAGCUCUGUGGGGAGGGACGAAAAAGCAAAGUCGAAUAGGUUUUGAAAUUGACGGUACCUCCUUAGCAAGCACCGGCUAACUCUGUGCCAGCAGCCGCGGUAAGACAGAGGGUGCAAACGUUGCUCGGAAUCACUGGGCGUAAAGCGCGUGUAGGCGGGUCAGUCAGUCGGGUGUGAAAUCCCCAGGCUCAACCUGGGAACUGCAUCCGAAACUGCUGUCCUUGAGUGGUGGAGAGGGAAGUGGAAUUCCUGGUGUAGAGGUGAAAUUCGUAGAUAUCAGGAGGAACACCGGUGGCGAAGGCGGCUUCCUGGACACCGACUGACGCUGAGACGCGAAAGCGUGGGGAGCAAACAGGAUUAGAUACCCCCGUAGUCC